UACGUAGGGGGCAAGCGUUGUCCGGAUUGAUUGGGCGUAAAGAGCGUGUAGGCGGCCAGGCAGGUCCGCUGUGAAAACUCGAGGCUCAACCUCGAGAUGUCGGCGGAAACCAUCUGGCUAGAGUCCGGAAGAGGAGAGUGGAAUUCCUGGUGUAGCGGUGAAAUGCGCAGAUAUCAGGAAGAACACCCGUGGCGAAGGCGGCUCUCUGGGACGGUACUGACGCUGAGACGCGAAAGCGUGGGGAGCGAACAGG
Molecule: ribosomal RNA, 253 nt
Filed under: uncultured bacterium
Lineage: Bacteria
Description: partial 16S ribosomal RNA
Rfam family: Bacterial small subunit ribosomal RNA
Source: RNAcentral